This is a long non-coding RNA of Bactrocera neohumeralis, 732 nucleotides long. RefSeq lists it as uncharacterized. The record is from RefSeq and is a predicted model, not a curated record. NCBI's taxonomy places the organism in Eukaryota, Metazoa, Arthropoda, Insecta, Diptera, Tephritidae. The transcript is spliced from 3 exons.
UGCAUCAUUCAGUCAUCGUCGCGCUGUCAACACAACUGGUACAUUCAACGGAAGGAAUUAUAACGGAAAUGUUUGAUAACAACAAAACCUGCUACAGGUGUGUUUGUGUGUCCUUUACGCGUCCGUUUAACUAACAAAUCGUGUCUUCCGUGUAGCCACCAAAAGCUGUUCAUUUGCUAUUGAAAAAUACGACGCUUCUUUGUCGCCUCACCUAUUUAUGUAUGUCUUCCGAUCCGAUGGAUGAUAAGCGAGCGAUUGGGAAAAUGAGUAAACGGCAAAAAGUAAAACGCCUCGCCAGCUGCCACUUGCCAGCGCAAGAACGGCUGAUAUUAUCGUGUUAUUCGUGAUAGCCUUUCUGUUCGUCAUGGCUACAACCAGUACAGUUAUAGAAUGAAAAUUUUUUCCACGACGACUUCAGUCGUUAAACUUAACGAAAGUGGGCGAUUUCCAGUAAUGUACAGAAUGUGCACCGCUUAGAUCAUCAUGACACACAUGAACCAAAACACAGGAGCUGUGGAAUAUUAAUGAACCGAGUAGUGGCAAUAAGGAUGGGAAAUUUCAUAAGUAAAAUAUCCUAAUGCAGAACAAAACUGACAGAGAAACUGGCAAAGAAAUGAAUUUAACUAUCUGCCAAUGAACUAGUCGAUCUAAAUUCUUUUAAGUAGGUCUUCGUUUAAACCCAUAUUAAGAAUAUCAAGGGUUGUCGGAAUAAAUGAAACAUAUAAAGUUAAA